UACGUAGGUCCCGAGCGUUGUCCGGAUUUAUUGGGCGUAAAGCGAGCGCAGGUGGUUUAUUAAGUCUGGUGUAAAAGGCAGUGGCUCAACCAUUGUAUGCAUUGGAAACUGGUAGACUUGAGUGCAGGAGAGGAGAGUGGAAUUCCAUGUGUUGCGGUGAAAUGCGUAGAUAUAUGGAGGAACACCGGUGGCGAAAGCGGCUCUCUGGCCUGUAACUGACACUGAGGCUCGAAAGCGUGGGGAGCAAACAGG
RNAcentral lists this ribosomal RNA (252 nucleotides) under uncultured bacterium. RNAcentral describes it as "partial 16S ribosomal RNA". It matches the Rfam family "Bacterial small subunit ribosomal RNA", at positions 524 to 776 of the family's 1533-position model. The record is from RNAcentral.